RNAcentral lists this transfer RNA (72 nucleotides) under Camelus bactrianus (Bactrian camel). It matches the Rfam family "tRNA". Rfam says of the family: Transfer RNA (tRNA) molecules are approximately 80 nucleotides in length. Their secondary structure includes four short double-helical elements and three loops (D, anti-codon, and T loops). Lineage: Eukaryota; Metazoa; Chordata; Mammalia; Artiodactyla; Camelidae. The record is from Rfam by way of RNAcentral. RNAcentral also lists the same sequence under 3 other names.
GAGGGUAUAGCUCAGCAGUAGAGCACAUGCAUAGCAUGCAUGAGGUCCUGGGUUCAAUCCCCAGUACCUCUA